Capsicum annuum is the source of this 106-nucleotide non-coding RNA. NCBI's taxonomy places the organism in Eukaryota, Viridiplantae, Streptophyta, Magnoliopsida, Solanales, Solanaceae. The record is from Rfam.
ACCUCGUGGUUAGAACAUUGCAUAAGAUUUCUAUUAAAUCUCUCCCACGCCUCAUAUAUAGGCUCUCCAUUCAAUUGAUGAAAGUGUAUGAUUUCAUCACGCAAUU